CGCAUCAGCAAGCAGUUCAGGUUAAGAGUGUUAGUGUCAUGUGAGAUGAGGACCUUCAGGGGACAGGUCGGAUCCAGAGCAGAGGGUACUUCCUUUAUCGGCCACGAAAUGGAAGAAGAUCUGCUGAAUAUGUGUAAAACAAUAAAGAAUUUAAAGCUCAGUACCAACAGACCCUGUCCCUCAGAUGUGCUGAUCCAGAGUCAGACGGCCUGAAACACCAUGUCCCACUCAUUCCAGAGAACUUCCCCCAUUGAAUUGUGAUGUUAAAUGUACAGACAAAACCCAAAUAAGUAUUUUAUUAGACAAAAUGUCCUGUUUGUGCAACUGUGCUGUGCAUUUAGAAUUAAAAGCAUUAUAAAAUGUUUCCUCAUUGUGGCAGUGUGAUUUUGACCAAAUUACUUUUACUGUACAGCACUGUACUGUAUAUCUACAUUAUUA
This is a long non-coding RNA of Myxocyprinus asiaticus (Chinese sucker), 438 nucleotides long. RefSeq lists it as uncharacterized. The transcript is spliced from 4 exons. Lineage: Eukaryota; Metazoa; Chordata; Actinopteri; Cypriniformes; Catostomidae. The record is from RefSeq and is a predicted model, not a curated record.